AACGCUGGCGGCGUGCCUAAUACAUGCAAGUCGAACGCGAAGCCUGACUUCGGUGAGGUGGAGAGUGGCGGACGGGUGAGUAACACAUGGCUGACCUGCCCUUCAGAGGGGGACAACUGCUGGAAACGGCAGCUAAUACCCCAUACGCUCGUGGUGGUUAGGGGACUACGAGGAAAGGCUGAGGUGCUGAGGGAGGGGGCUGUGGCCCAUCAGCUAGUUGGUAGGGUAACGGCCUACCAAGGCGAGGACGGGUAGGGGGCCUGAGAGGGUGACCCCCCACACUGGAACUGAGAGACGGUCCAGACUCCUACGGGAGGCAGCAGUAAGGGAUAUUGCGACAAUGGGCGAAAGCCUGACGCAGCAACGCCGCGUGCGGGAGGAAGGCCUUCGGGUUGUAAACCGCUUUUGAGGGGGAAGAGGAAGGACGGUACCCUUCGAAUAAGUCUCGGCUAACUACGUGCCAGCAGCCGCGGUAAAACGUAGGAGGCGGGCGUUAUCCGGAUUUACUGGGUGUAAAGCGCGUGCAGGCGGUGGGACAAGUUAACUGUGAAAGCGCCCGGCUCAACCGGGCGAGGACAGUUAAGACUGUUCGACUGGAGGCAGGUAGAGGUGUGUGGAAUUCCGGGUGUAGUGGUGAAAUGCGUAGAGAUUCGGAGGAACACCAGUGGCGAAGGCGACACACUGGGCCUGGCCUGACGCUCAGACGCGAAAGCAUGGGGAGCGAACGGGAUUAGAUACCCUGGUAGUCCACGCCGUAAACGAUGUUCACUAGGUGUUGAGGGUAUUGACCCCUUCAGUGCCGAAGCUAACGCAUUAAGUGAACCGCCUGGGGAGUACGGUCGCAAGAUUAAAACUCAAAGGAAUUGACGGGGGCCCGCACAAGCGGUGGAGCAUGUGGUUUAAUUCGAGGCAACGCGAAGAACCUUACCUGGGCUUGACAUACACCGGACCGCAUCUGAAAGGAUGCUUCCCUUCGGGGUCGGUAACAGGNGCUGCAUGGCUGUCGUCAGCUCGUGCCGUGAGGUGUUGGGUUAAGUCCCGCAACGAGCGCAACCCUCGCCCUUAGUUGCCAUCAGGUUAUGCUGGGAACUCUAAGGGGACUGCCAGUGAUAAGCUGGAGGAAGGUGGGGAUGAUGUCAAGUCAUCAUGGCCCUUACACCCAGGGCUACACACGUACUACAAUGGCCGGUACAGAGGGCUGCAAGACUGCAAAGUGGAGCCAAUCCCUAAAACCGGUCUCAGUUCAGAUUGGAGUCUGCAACUCGACUUCAUGAAGGUGGAAUCGCUAGUAAUCGCAGAUCAGCACGCUGCGGUGAAUACGUUCCCGGGCCUUGUACACACCGCCCGUCAAGCCACGAAAGUUGGGGGCACCCAAAGUCGUUUGCCUAACCGCAAGGAGGGCGGCGCCUAAGGUGAAACCGAUAUGG
Molecule: ribosomal RNA, 1427 nt
Filed under: uncultured bacterium
Lineage: Bacteria
Description: partial 16S ribosomal RNA
Rfam family: Bacterial small subunit ribosomal RNA
Source: RNAcentral